GCCUGGGUGGCUCAGUCGGUUAAGCAUCUGACUUCAGCUCAGGUCAUGAUCUCACAGUCUGUGAGUUCGAGCCCUGCUUCGGGCU
Molecule: transfer RNA, 85 nt
Filed under: Felis catus (domestic cat)
Lineage: Eukaryota; Metazoa; Chordata; Mammalia; Carnivora; Felidae
Also listed under: 2 other names
Rfam family: tRNA
About the family: Transfer RNA (tRNA) molecules are approximately 80 nucleotides in length. Their secondary structure includes four short double-helical elements and three loops (D, anti-codon, and T loops). Further hydrogen bonds mediate the characteristic L-shaped molecular structure. tRNAs have two regions of fundamental functional importance: the anti-codon, which is responsible for specific mRNA codon recognition, and the 3' end, to which the tRNAs corresponding amino acid is attached (by aminoacyl-tRNA synthetases). tRNAs cope with the degeneracy of the genetic code in two manners: having more than one tRNA (with a specific anti-codon) for a particular amino acid; and 'wobble' base-pairing, i.e. permitting non-standard base-pairing at the 3rd anti-codon position.
Source: Rfam by way of RNAcentral